This 118-nucleotide ribosomal RNA is filed under the name Pteropus alecto (black flying fox). RNAcentral also lists the same sequence under 1 other name. Lineage: Eukaryota; Metazoa; Chordata; Mammalia; Chiroptera; Pteropodidae. The record is from RNAcentral.
GCCUAUGGCGAUGCCACCCUGAACAUGUCCAAUCUCAUCUGAUCUCUGAAGCUAAGCAGGGUCAGGCCUGGUUAGUACAUGGAUGGAAGACCACCCAGAAGACCAGGUGCUACAGGCA